UACGGGGGGGGCAAGCGUUGUUCGGAAUUACUGGGCGUAAAGGGCGCGUAGGCGGCCUGCUAAGUCGGACGUGAAAUCCCUCGGCUCAAUCGGGGAACUGCGUCCGAUACUGGUGGGCUCGAAUCCGGGGGAGGGAUGUGGAAUUCCAGGUGUAGCGGUGAAAUGCGUAGAUAUCUGGAGGAACACCGGUGGCGAAGGCGGCAUCCUGGACCGGUAUUGACGCUGAUGCGCGAAAGCCAGGGGAGCAAACGGG
RNAcentral lists this ribosomal RNA (253 nucleotides) under uncultured bacterium. RNAcentral describes it as "partial 16S ribosomal RNA". It matches the Rfam family "Bacterial small subunit ribosomal RNA", at positions 524 to 776 of the family's 1533-position model. The record is from RNAcentral.